RNAcentral lists this small RNA (455 nucleotides) under Histoplasma capsulatum. RNAcentral describes it as "hypothetical RNA". The record is from RNAcentral. RNAcentral also lists the same sequence under 1 other name. Lineage: Eukaryota; Fungi; Ascomycota; Eurotiomycetes; Onygenales; Ajellomycetaceae.
GUUAGCAGGCUGGGAUGAAUCUUUCUGUUGAAGAUCGUGUUUUUUCCUGAUUCGAGAUCUGAGCGGAUGUUUGUUGAAAAUAAACAACAACACCCGAUCUCUUUGAAGUUUUCGCCCUGUUUCCGCCUUUCUACAGCUUUCCCUUGAUUUUAGAUCCAAGACUGAAUUCAUCUCUAGCAAUACAGUAUGUACUAGCUACACAAAAUACAUUUUAGUGAUGAUAGUGGGAAAAGAAAAGACAGCAAACGCGGAAUGGGAAUAGUAAUAUACAACACGUAACCAACAAGUGAUGCCUCUAUCAAAGAUUUGGCGAUGAUUGGACCCAGUUUUAAGGAAAGAAAGGAAAGAAAAAUCAGCAUUUGAGCUGGGAAAGAAAUAACGUUAUAGAUAGCUUUCUAGGUGAGGUAAUAUUUCGGGCCCUCCCCACCUUGAGGAGUCUGCCAAUUGAUGUCCUG